Triticum aestivum (bread wheat) is the source of this 504-nucleotide long non-coding RNA. RefSeq lists it as uncharacterized. NCBI's taxonomy places the organism in Eukaryota, Viridiplantae, Streptophyta, Magnoliopsida, Poales, Poaceae. The record is from RefSeq and is a predicted model, not a curated record. The transcript is spliced from 2 exons.
UUCCUCUCUACUCCUUCAUCCAAACGCAUCGCGCACCCCACUGGCUCGGCAUGACGGCAAAACAAUUAAGCAAACACCUCUCAGGCAGCAUGCCUAAGAACAGAGCGCACAUAAACACCAGCGAUUUCCAGCUCCCCUUUCAGUGGGGUUGCCGUCCUAUUUCCAGUAGCUAGCUACUCACCUCGUCAAGACACUGGUGGGAGUUCCACAAAUGGGAUCAGCCGCGCCAUUGCCGGCGCCAACCGCUGUUUUCCCUCGACAUCGCCCACAACCCCAUGUCAGAUCGCAGAACAGAAUUUCAAGAUUCACGCACAUUAAUUGAAGCCAACAGACUCACGCGUUCAAGCAAUCCUGCCCGGCUACAGUGCGUCAAUACCUGGACAGAAUUGGAGCCAUGCGAAAAAUAUGGCGAUCCCUGCUGCGACUAAGAGGACCAGCCAGUGUUUGAAGUGAGUGGAUAAUAACAAGGACUUCAAUGCAGUCAGCUUAUUUGCCCACUGCAUC